Long non-coding RNA from Daphnia pulex (common water flea), 821 nucleotides. RefSeq lists it as uncharacterized. Lineage: Eukaryota; Metazoa; Arthropoda; Branchiopoda; Diplostraca; Daphniidae. The transcript is spliced from 3 exons. The record is from RefSeq and is a predicted model, not a curated record.
CACAUUUUCGUCUGCUUAUUAUUGAUUUGCAUAUUCUGUGUUCUAAAACUUCGAGACAAGUGCUUUCCGAACAGAACCACACAUAGGUUUAAAAUAACCGGGGUUUAGCAAAGGAAUAUAUUUCAACAAUUUCCAAAUGGAAACUUCAAAUCGAGUUGUCUGUGGAAUGGUAUUGGGUGAAGCUUCGGAAUCGGACGAAGAGUCUGAUGUUCCAAAUAGUUCUACUCCUGCCAAUAUAAGCUUUCUUCCUAUCAAUAGUAACACGAAAAAGACUCCAAAACACAGAUUAAAGUACAACACUCUUCUCCACUAUAGGCUCCGUGACAGCAAUAUAGCUGUGAGGAAUGACAUAGUGAAUAUUGUUGAACAACCCCUACAAAAAGCCACACAACGUCUUCAGGAAUCCUUGCAAAUUCAAAGUAGAACAAGAGCAUCACUUCAUGAAAUGCCGCGCUACCUGCAUCAGUUGAGCGUUGCCUUGGUCGGGUUACAAGAUCGCUUGCCGACCAUUUGCAAUACUAAAAUCGUCCCGGAAAAGUAGGGUAACUGAGCAAGCCAUCUAUUCUUCAUAAUAUUCCAAUCAUUCGUCCGUCUCUUGUGAAGUCCCAGGAGGCUGAGGCUCAAUUUCAUUCUUUUCAGCCUGUUGCUGCUGUUGAAUGAAUUUGAGUGUUUCCUUUUGUCUCUUUCUGGCCAAUUUGGCUUUUGUCGUAGAACUCAUAUCUGUCUUGUGAGCCUUUGGCUUUCCUUCAAGUUGAUUCUUUAUGGCCUCUGUGAUAUCAAUCUAUAAAAACCAGUCUGAAAGUAAUAAGGUUGUCAAAUGA